RNAcentral lists this transfer RNA (535 nucleotides) under uncultured cyanobacterium. Its description in RNAcentral is "partial 16S-23S intergenic spacer". The stretch from base 207 to 279 matches the Rfam family "tRNA". The record is from RNAcentral. Lineage: Bacteria; Bacillati; Cyanobacteriota.
AGACAACAAAAUGUUUAAUAUUAUUAUUUUGUCACCUUAGGUCGAUCGGUAUCUCACGUUCUUAUUCAAUUAAGAAUUUCAUUUCCUAAGUUUUUCUAGGUCACACCCAUUAUUUUUCCUGGGCCAUUAGCUCAGGUGGUUAGAGCGCACCCCUGAUAAGGGUGAGGUCCCUGGUUCAAGUCCGGGAUGGCCCAUAUCUCUAUGUUGGGGGUAUAGCUCAGUUGGUAGAGCGCCUGCUUUGCAAGCAGGAUGUCAGCGGUUCGAGUCCGCUUACCUCCACUGAUUACCACCUCCUCCAUAAUCUUAAGCAAGGAAAUGUUUUGAGUUGUGAUCAAAUUCUGAACGAAUCUAGCUUCCUAAUGAAAGCAUUAAGAUGCUGGACUCAUUGAAUUAAUUUCAUUGUUUUCAGAGAACCUUGACAACUGCAUAGAUUAUUUUUAAAGACAAUAAGCAUCUUUAAUGAUGCAGAUUUUUUAUUUGUGCGAAUGCAUUAAUAACAAUUCUAUUAAGCUGAUGCUUCAAUUUUGAAGUUAUU